This 728-nucleotide long non-coding RNA is filed under the name Coccomyxa subellipsoidea. Its description in RNAcentral is "long non-coding RNA (CSUB_LNC000748)". The record is from RNAcentral. Lineage: Eukaryota; Viridiplantae; Chlorophyta; Trebouxiophyceae; Coccomyxaceae.
UUUUUACACCAGGAUGAUCUGCUUCAGCUCUGCGAAGGUACUAUGUAGUAAAUGCACAACGUCAGCCUUGCUUUGUACAGAAAGCUUGUGAGGUCAGCAAGUCAAUUUCCCGUGAAACCGGUUGGUAGAAAAGUCCUGUACAACAUCCGUGAGGUUUUCGAGAUAUAUAGGAAAGAAGCACAGCAAGAAAAGAUCAUACACUUGCAAGGCAGAGGAGAAGCUGCCCUAAGAGUCCUUGCCUUUCUGAGGCAUUUGCCAGAGGUGCGACUUGAGGACAAAAGGGCCUCGACAUCAGCAAAUCCAGAUCGUGUUGAGAGCAAGGAUCCUGUCAUGAAGUUAAUCUCUUGUAUUUAGUCCAAGAGGACUGCUCUACAACCAUUCUUCUAAUCUACUUCAUCUAGAUCGCGCACAUUGGACAGUACUCUGCUCUGGCGCAUCAGUUUGCCAAAUGUCUUCUUGAUGUCUCUAGAACCGCAUGAAAUGUACAGGUUUUCACAUUCGCUUUCUAUGAAGGCAUGUGAGUAGACUGUUGUGCUCACAUGUCAAGUGUUGCAGGAUGACUUCAAUAUGAUAUUUCGACAGCAUUUCAGGGAGAAGCAGAUUAAAAAGUGAGCAAUUUGAGCCCUGGUGCCCAUGGCUCAGACAGCGGCCCAGCUUGUGGGGCCUUGUUUAGAGAAGAUCUGCGAAGUUGCAAGCGGCAGAAAAUACACACAGCUCAGGCAUGAAGC